GUGUCAGCAGCCGCGGUAACACGUAGGAGGCAAACGUUACCCGGAUUCACUGGGCGUAAAGCGUGUGUAGGUGGUUUCGUAAGUAGGGCGUGAAAGCUCCCGGCUCAACUGGGAGAGGCCGUACUAAACUGCGGAGCUAGAGGAUGGUAGAGGGAGGUGGAAUUCCAGGUGUAGUGGUGAAAUGCGCAGAUAUCUGGAGGAACACCAGUGGCGAAGGCGGCCUCCUGGACCAUUCCUGACACUCAGACGCGAAAGCUAGGGUAGCAAACGGGAUUAGAGACCCCGGUAGUCCUAGCCCUAAACGAUGUAGACUAGGCGUCGGUGGUUUAAUCACCAUCGGUGUCCAAGCAAGCGCGAUAAGUCUACCGCCUGGGGACUACGGCCGCAAGGUUAAAACUCAAAUGAAUUGACGG
RNAcentral lists this ribosomal RNA (413 nucleotides) under uncultured bacterium. RNAcentral's name for it is "bacterial SSU rRNA". It matches the Rfam family "Bacterial small subunit ribosomal RNA", at positions 505 to 916 of the family's 1533-position model. The record is from RNAcentral.